RNAcentral lists this transfer RNA (69 nucleotides) under Ictidomys tridecemlineatus (thirteen-lined ground squirrel). RNAcentral's name for it is "Spermophilus tridecemlineatus (thirteen-lined ground squirrel) tRNA". It matches the Rfam family "tRNA". Rfam says of the family: Transfer RNA (tRNA) molecules are approximately 80 nucleotides in length. Their secondary structure includes four short double-helical elements and three loops (D, anti-codon, and T loops). Further hydrogen bonds mediate the characteristic L-shaped molecular structure. tRNAs have two regions of fundamental functional importance: the anti-codon, which is responsible for specific mRNA codon recognition, and the 3' end, to which the tRNAs corresponding amino acid is attached (by aminoacyl-tRNA synthetases). tRNAs cope with the degeneracy of the genetic code in two manners: having more than one tRNA (with a specific anti-codon) for a particular amino acid; and 'wobble' base-pairing, i.e. permitting non-standard base-pairing at the 3rd anti-codon position. The record is from Rfam by way of RNAcentral. Lineage: Eukaryota; Metazoa; Chordata; Mammalia; Rodentia; Sciuridae.
GGGGCUGUAGCUCAGUGGUAAAGCCCCCGCCUCGCACGUGGGAGGCACUAGGUUGGAACCUCAGCACCA